This 462-nucleotide ribosomal RNA is filed under the name uncultured bacterium. Its description in RNAcentral is "partial 16S ribosomal RNA". It matches the Rfam family "Bacterial small subunit ribosomal RNA", at positions 28 to 506 of the family's 1533-position model. The record is from RNAcentral.
GAUGAACGCUGACAGAAUGCUUAACACAUGCAAGUCUUUGGCGAAGCUGUGCUUGCACAGCCUAGCCAAGGCGGACGGGUGAGUAACGCGUAAGGAACUUGCCCUGCAGUCAGGGAUAACAGACGGAAACGACUGAUAAGACCUGGUAAAGUCAGGCGGACUCAUGUCCAGCCUGAUGAAAAGAGAUGCUGCAGGAGAGCCUUGCGUCCUAUUAGCUUGUUGGUGGGGUAACGGCCCACCAAGGCGAUGAUAGGUAGCCGGCCUGAGAGGGUGGACGGCCACAAGGGGACUGAGAUACGGCCCUUACUCCUACGGGAGGCAGCAGUGGGGAAUAUUGGACAAUGGGGGCAACCCUGAUCCAGCAAUUCUGUGUGCACGAUGAAGGUUUUCGGAUUGUAAAGUGCUUUCAGCAGGGAAGAAAAAAAUGACGGUACCUGCAGAAGAAACGACGGCUAAAUACGU